RNAcentral lists this ribosomal RNA (315 nucleotides) under Triticum aestivum (bread wheat). RNAcentral's name for it is "partial small subunit ribosomal RNA". Lineage: Eukaryota; Viridiplantae; Streptophyta; Magnoliopsida; Poales; Poaceae. The record is from RNAcentral.
AUGCUACUCUCUCAGCCGUCGUGUUGUUACAAUUAUGAGUGUGACUGGAGACUCGCGGCGGUCCAGUCUCGGAUCAUCAUCGGUAAAUGGCUGCGAGGAAUUGAAGAUGAGACGAGCCCUUUCACUCCUAUCAACCACUACAAAUCUUCUGCAAGAGCCAAAGCUUCUCUGCACGCCAUCGCCUCGAGUGUGGCUACAUCGAUGAUUCCCCGGACAACCAAAGAGGAGCUGCACAAAUAUCGUCCAGCAUCAUCUCGGCACACUGCGGAUGUCGCUUCUCUCAACUUGGAUUUUGCCACGCUUGCAUCGACAUGA